UCGUGGAACGAAGGGGUUGCAAACCUGCGUUACGGGUUUCGAUAGCUGCUUGAAAACCUCCACCAGCCAGUCGUUCGGAUUUUGAUACACGCUUACCAACUCGCAACUCUUUCUUCCGUAUCCGUGAAAAAGCGAAGAGGGACGGAAUAUUUUGCGUUCCCGUGCAAUUUACAUUCACGUCGCGAUGUCGUCAAGGACGGACACCUGCAGCGAGUGCAUUGAAUCGCACGUGAGCCGCAAUUCUUCUCGAAAAUUAAGCCAUCCUGGAUAGACAAUUGGGUAUAAAGGAUAGCGAAAUGGACUAUCGGGCGAUCGGAGGAACGGCGCUCAACGCAGCUGGAAACAUUGUCGUAGGCGAGAAGAGGUGAACGUUGCUCGUAUCCGAAUGUCGAGCGCAGGUGUGGAAGGAAACAAUGCGGUAUCGUGAACGGGUCGCAAAUCGACUUAUCUCCACUCGGACACAAGAGCAUCGGUGAACAGACGCUUUGGAAUGCGCUAAUCGUGCGAACACGCGCGACUGCCAGGUCGCUCGUAAUGCAACCUCUGGUCCCAAGAGUACAGUUUGACAGGUUUGCGUCCCGACGAUCGAUCUGCCACCAGAUCCCCGAAUCGAUCCGUAGCCCCUCGAAACCCCGUCGUCUCACCGUCAAUCUCGCCUUUCACCGCGUUAAUUGGAUUACGGAGUUUGCGUUGUGCCUUCGUCGCCGAAUAUAUAUCCUUCUUCUCCUUUUCACCGUGCAACCCGAUCGACGCGGCACAACGCGACGCGACGCGGCAUAUCUGUUCGCGAAUUAAGCAAUCGAAUUCACCGCGUUCGAGAUAAUUCAUCCCCUCGAACGGUGUUCCCGGUUAUUCCGCCACGACUUUUCUUCCUCUUUCUGCCCGCUAUAAUGCGAUUACCAGUUAAUGAAAAUUCGAACGACCGAUAAUAACCUCUUCGGUAUGGGAAUUAAUUAUGGAAAUUCUAUGAUGCCUACCAUGCGAAUUAUGCUUCCGUACGGAUAAAGUGAAUGACUUUUAAGGGAGAAUUACUUUCAAUACCUGUAUCUGUGAUAUAAUGUAAUGUAAUAAAAUACGUGUAAUAUACCGUGAU
This is a long non-coding RNA of Bombus impatiens (common eastern bumble bee), 1093 nucleotides long. RefSeq lists it as uncharacterized. The transcript is spliced from 2 exons. The record is from RefSeq and is a predicted model, not a curated record. NCBI's taxonomy places the organism in Eukaryota, Metazoa, Arthropoda, Insecta, Hymenoptera, Apidae.